Molecule: non-coding RNA, 385 nt
Filed under: Stegodyphus mimosarum
Lineage: Eukaryota; Metazoa; Arthropoda; Arachnida; Araneae; Eresidae
Description: eukaryotic small subunit ribosomal RNA
Rfam family: Eukaryotic small subunit ribosomal RNA
Source: Rfam by way of RNAcentral
GAUUAAGCCAUGCAUGUCUAAGUACAUGCCGUAUUAAGGCGAAACCGCGAAUGUCUCAUUAAAUCAGUUAUGAUUCCUUGGAUCGUUCCUUACUACUUGGAUAACUGUGGCAAUUCUAGAGCUAAUACAUGCAGCAGAGCUCCGACCCUCUGGGGACGAGCGCUUUUAUUAGACCAAAAUCAAUCGGACCUCGUGUCCGUAUUAUGUGGUGACUCUGUAUAACUUUGGGCUGAUCGCACGGGCUCGUCCCAGCGACGUAUCUUCUAAGUGUCUGCCUUAUCAACUGUCGAUGGUAGGUUACGCGCCUACCAUGGUCGUGACGGGGAAUAAGGGUUCGAUUCCGGAGAGGGAGCCUGAGAAACGGCCCUACACGCAGAUUAGUCGC